GCCUGGCCAGCUCAGUGGGUAGAGCAUGUGACUUGAUCUCAGGGUUGUGGGUUUGAGCCCCAUGCUGGGCG
This 71-nucleotide transfer RNA is filed under the name Mustela putorius furo (domestic ferret). It matches the Rfam family "tRNA". Rfam says of the family: Transfer RNA (tRNA) molecules are approximately 80 nucleotides in length. Their secondary structure includes four short double-helical elements and three loops (D, anti-codon, and T loops). The record is from Rfam by way of RNAcentral. Lineage: Eukaryota; Metazoa; Chordata; Mammalia; Carnivora; Mustelidae.